CAGUCGACGAUGAUCCGGUGCUUGCACCGGGGAUUAGUGGCGAACGGGUGAGUAACACGUGAGUAACCUGCCCUUGACUCUGGGAUAAGCCUGGGAAACUGGGUCUAAUACCGGAUAUGACUCCUCAUCGCAUGGUGGGGGGUGGAAAGCUUUUGCGGUUUUGGAUGGACUCGCGGCCUAUCAGCUUGUUGGUGAGGUAAUGGCUCACCAAGGCGACGACGGGUAGCCGGCCUGAGAGGGUGACCGGCCACACUGGGACUGAGACACGGCCCAGACUCCUACGGGAGGCAGCAGUGGGGAAUAUUGCACAAUGGGCGAAAGCCUGAUGCAGCGACGCCGCGUGAGGGAUGACGGCCUUCGGGUUGUAAACCUCUUUCAGUAGGGAAGAAGCGAAAGUGACGGUACCUGCAGAAGAAGCGCCGGCUAACUACGUGCCAGCAGCCGCGGUAAUACGUAGGGCGCAAGCGUUAUCCGGAAUUAUUGGGCGUAAAGAGCUCGUAGGCGGUUUGUCGCGUCUGCCGUG
RNAcentral lists this ribosomal RNA (523 nucleotides) under Arthrobacter globiformis. Its description in RNAcentral is "bacterial SSU rRNA". It matches the Rfam family "Bacterial small subunit ribosomal RNA", at positions 59 to 596 of the family's 1533-position model. Lineage: Bacteria; Bacillati; Actinomycetota; Actinomycetes; Micrococcales; Micrococcaceae. The record is from RNAcentral.